ACAAAGGCCCUUUUCAGGGCCGCCCACAAAGUCACUUAAAGGGCUG
Molecule: non-coding RNA, 46 nt
Organism: Felis catus (domestic cat)
Lineage: Eukaryota; Metazoa; Chordata; Mammalia; Carnivora; Felidae
Source: Rfam